AUAAAAGAAAGUAAAUAAGGGCGCAUGGCGGAUGCCUUGGCUCUCGGAGGCGAUGAAGGACGUGAUAAGCUGCGAUAAGCUUCGGGUAGGUGCAAAUGACCUUUGAUCCGAAGAUUUCCGAAUGGGACAACCCGGCAUUCUGAAGGAAUGUCAUCCAACUUGGUUGGAGGCUAACGCAGGGAACUGAAACAUCUUAGUACCUGCAGGAAAAGAAAAUAAAUAAUGAUUCCCCUAGUAGUGGCGAGCGAACGGGGAUUAGCCCAAACCACCCAUGUUACGGCAUGUGUGGGGUUGUAGGACCACGCUCUCGCAAGACAGUUAUUGAGAAGAAACGACUGGAAAGUCGUGCCAUAGACGGUGAUAGCCCGGUAUUCUAAGGUAACCGAAGCGUAGUGGUAUCCUGAGUAGCGCGGAGCACGAGGAAUUCUGCGUGAAUCAGCCGGGACCAUCCGGUAAGGCUAAAUACUCCCGAGAGACCGAUAGCGAACCAGUACUGUGAAGGAAAGGUGAAAAGCACUUCGAAUAGAAGAGUGAAAUAGUCCCUGAAACCAUGCGCCUACAAGCGGUCGGAGCAGCUUAAGUUGUGACGGCGUGCCUUUUGCAUAAUGAACCUACGAGUUACUUUUUCCGGCAAGGUUAAGCAUCUUGAGAUGUGGAUCCGAAGCGAAAGCGAGUCUGAACAGGGCGGAUAGUCGGAAGGAGUAGACGCGAAACCAAGUGAUCUACCCUUGGGCAGGUUGAAGGUUAGGUAACACUAACUGGAGGACCGAACCGAUAAGCGUUGAAAAGCUUCCGGAUGACCUGAGGGUGGGGGUGAAAGGCUAAUCAAACUUGGAGAUAGCUCGUACUCCCCGAAAUGCAUUUAGGUGCAGCCUUGAGAGUUACUAAUGUGAGGUAGAGCGACUGAUAAGAUGCGAGGGCUUCACCGCCUAUCAAGUCUUGAUAAACUCCGAAUGCGCAUUAGUUCUAUCUCAGGAGUGAGGGCAUGGGUGCUAAGGUCCAUGUCCUAAAGGAGAAGAAUCCAGACCAUCAGCUAAGGUCCCCAAAUAAACACUAAGUUGAACUAACGAAGUCAGAUUGCUAAGACAGCUAGGAUGUUGGCUUGGAAGCAGCCAUUCAUUUAAAGAGUGCGUAACAGCUCACUAGUCGAGGAGUUUGGCGUGGAUAAUAAUCGGGCAUUAAGUGUUUUACCGAAGCUAUGGGAUACGUAAGUAUCGGUAGGGGAGCAUUCCACUCUGCGUUGAAGGCGAAGCGUGAGCUUUACUGGAGCGUGUGGAAAAGCAAAUGUAGGUAUAAGUAACGAUAAAGGGGGUGAGAAACCCCCUCGCCGCAAGACUAAGGUUUCCUGAUCAACGCUAAUCGGAUCAGGGUUAGUCGGGUCCUAAGGCUCAGCCGAACGGUGAGGCCGAUGGCAGAACAGGUUAAUAUUCCUGUACUACCUAUA
RNAcentral lists this ribosomal RNA (1444 nucleotides) under Bacteroides fragilis. Its description in RNAcentral is "partial 23S ribosomal RNA". It matches the Rfam family "Bacterial large subunit ribosomal RNA", at positions 1 to 1452 of the family's 2925-position model. The record is from RNAcentral. Lineage: Bacteria; Pseudomonadati; Bacteroidota; Bacteroidia; Bacteroidales; Bacteroidaceae.